GCCUGUGUGUGGGUACUUCUAUUGGCUAUCUCUCUGCAUGGCUAGGAGAAGGGAACAAAAGUUCCUUGUGGUGCUCACGAACAGAUUUGGUGAGUCAUUGCAGAGGAGGGAAGUUCUGUUAGAGGCUUUUUAUAUUGAUUUGUUAGCUGCUAAAAGGCUGCUGAGAACAAGCAUGUUGAUUUGCUGGUUGAGAGGGAAGGUUGAAUUGAUCUGAUGUCACAGUGGUAAAUUUUGUACAUGAGGGUAUAGGAAGAUAAAAUGGGGAUGACUUUACAGCAGGGAUAUUGGACCUGGUGCUGUCAGUAGCUGCACUGCCAAACUUUGAAAAUAAAAUAAAUGGUGAGUAGUUUUCAGCUGCUGUAGAAAUAAAGACUUUGUUUCUCAAGUAAUAAGCUAGGAAUAUUUCUAGCCAUUAACUACCUAUAAAAAAUAAGCCAGCCUAUUUCACACAGGAAAUUAUUCAGAAAAAGGCCUCAAAUAAUUUACACAUUAAAAAAAAUCUCUUUUAAAAAGUAUUAAGCCAAUAGGAGCAGCUUAGCUCAAAUGUACCCAUCCCAGAUAAUCCAGCUUCCACCAAUAUGUUACUGAUCUGGCACCACUGAAGGAAAAAGGUAUUUCAGGGAUAUUUGUGCAGCUGGGAAAGAUUUUAAAAUUUAAAUUCUUAAUGGGAAACUUACGAACACACUAGAGCUGAGCGAAUAUUUCAUAAUGAAUAAUUUAUAUGACAAUAACAAUAAUAAUACUAUUAGGCUGCUGUAAUUCAUGCUGUGGCUAACAAAGAUCAGUUCAUAUUAUGAGGAAGGUGGAACCUUCUUUUUGACAGCUCCUUGUUACUCCACUGCUGCCCUAAAAGAGAGUUGGUUCAU
This is a long non-coding RNA of Gavialis gangeticus (Gharial), 866 nucleotides long. RefSeq lists it as uncharacterized. The record is from RefSeq and is a predicted model, not a curated record. Lineage: Eukaryota; Metazoa; Chordata; Crocodylia; Gavialidae. The transcript has 2 exons.